UCUUCUGUAUGCUGAUGAUUGUAUCAG
Molecule: unclassified non-coding RNA, 27 nt
Filed under: Mus musculus (house mouse)
Lineage: Eukaryota; Metazoa; Chordata; Mammalia; Rodentia; Muridae
Description: oocyte_clustered_small_RNA13156
Source: RNAcentral